This 540-nucleotide ribosomal RNA is filed under the name Pleuroascus sp. JC-2013. RNAcentral describes it as "eukaryotic LSU rRNA". It matches the Rfam family "Eukaryotic large subunit ribosomal RNA", at positions 81 to 636 of the family's 3401-position model. Lineage: Eukaryota; Fungi; Ascomycota; Leotiomycetes; Helotiales; Pleuroascaceae. The record is from RNAcentral.
CAGUAACGGCGAGUGAAGCGGUAACAGCUCAAAUUUGAAAUCUGGCCCCCUCGGGGCCCGAGUUGUAAUUUGGAGAAGAUGCUUUGGGUGCGGCCCCGGCCUAGGUCCCUUGGAACAGGGCGUCAUAGAGGGUGAGAACCCCGUCUGUGGCCGGCGGCCUGUGCCCGUGUAAAGCUCUUUCGACGAGUCGAGUUGUUUGGGAAUGCAGCUCAAAAUGGGUGGUAAAUUUCAUCUAAAGCUAAAUACUGGCCAGAGACCGAUAGCGCACAAGUAGAGUGAUCGAAAGAUGAAAAGCACUUUGGAAAGAGAGUUAAACAGUACGUGAAAUUGUUGAAAGGGAAGCGCUUGCAGCCAGACUCGCGGCCGUCGCUCCCCCGGUGUUCUCACCGGGGUACUCGGCGGCCCACGGGCCAGCAUCGGCCCGGGCGGCCGGACAAAGGCCGCGGGAAUGUGGCUCCCCUCGGGGAGCGUUAUAGCCCGCGGCGCAAUGCGGCCAGCCUGGACCGAGGACCGCGCUUCGGCUAGGAUGAUGGCGUAAGG